Molecule: ribosomal RNA, 405 nt
Filed under: Amphipoda sp. BOLD:ADF7551
Lineage: Eukaryota; Metazoa; Arthropoda; Malacostraca; Amphipoda
Description: partial 16S ribosomal RNA
Rfam family: Bacterial large subunit ribosomal RNA
Source: RNAcentral
UAGCAUAAUGAUUUGUCUUUUAAUUGAUGACUAGUAUGAAAGGUUAAACAAACAGUAGUGUCUUUGUAGGAUAUGGUAAUUUGGACUCUGAGUAAAAAUACUUUGAUGGGCCUAAGGGACGAUAAGACCCUAAAAGCUUUAUUUUAUGGGUGCCGGUUUUGGUAAGGUGUGUUUUGAAUUUAGCUGGGGUAGUAGUUAUGUUGAGUCUGUGGUUUAAGUGGGUCAAGAGAGUGGUCUUUUAUAUGAGGAGAAAUCGAGAGAGUUACUUUAGGGUUAACAGCGCGAUAUUUUCAGAGAGGCCGUAUCUAUGAGGGUGAUUGUGACCUCGAUGUUGAAUUAUAAUUUCUUUUUGGAGCACUGGCUAGAAGAGAGGGUUUGUUCAACCCUUAAAAUUUUACAUGAUUU